Molecule: ribosomal RNA, 1708 nt
Filed under: Escherichia coli
Lineage: Bacteria; Pseudomonadati; Pseudomonadota; Gammaproteobacteria; Enterobacterales; Enterobacteriaceae
Description: partial 23S ribosomal RNA
Rfam family: Bacterial large subunit ribosomal RNA
Source: RNAcentral
UUCGUCACACUAUCAUUAACUGAAUCCAUAGGUUAAUGAGGCGAACCGGGGGAACUGAAACAUCUAAGUACCCCGAGGAAAAGAAAUCAACCGAGAUUCCCCCAGUAGCGGCGAGCGAACGGGGAGCAGCCCAGAGCCUGAAUCAGUGUGUGUGUUAGUGGAAGCGUCUGGAAAGGCGCGCGAUACAGGGUGACAGCCCCGUACACAAAAAUGCACAUACUGUGAGCUCGAUGAGUAGGGCGGGACACGUGGUAUCCUGUCUGAAUAUGGGGGGACCAUCCUCCAAGGCUAAAUACUCCUGACUGACCGAUAGUGAACCAGUACCGUGAGGGAAAGGCGAAAAGAACCCCGGCGAGGGGAGUGAAAAAGAACCUGAAACCGUGUACGUACAAGCAGUGGGAGCACAGAGCAAUCUGUGUGACUGCGUACCUUUUGUAUAAUGGGUCAGCGACUUAUAUUCUGUAGCAAGGUUAACCGAAUAGGGGAGCCGAAGGGAAACCGAGUCUUAACUGGGCGUUAAGUUGCAGGGUAUAGACCCGAAACCCGGUGAUCUAGCCAUGGGCAGGUUGAAGGUUGGGUAACACUAACUGGAGGACCGAACCGACUAAUGUUGAAAAAUUAGCGGAUGACUUGUGGCUGGGGGUGAAAGGCCAAUCAAACCGGGAGAUAGCUGGUUCUCCCCGAAAGCUAUUUAGGUAGCGCCUCGUGAAUUCAUCUCCGGGGGUAGAGCACUGUUUCGGCAAGGGGGUCAUCCCGACUUACCAACCCGAUGCAAACUGCGAAUACCGGAGAAUGUUAUCACGGGAGACACACGGCGGGUGCUAACGUCCGUCGUGAAGAGGGAAACAACCCAGACCGCCAGCUAAGGUCCCAAAGUCAUGGUUAAGUGGGAAACGAUGUGGGAAGGCCCAGACAGCCAGGAUGUUGGCUUAGAAGCAGCCAUCAUUUAAAGAAAGCGUAAUAGCUCACUGGUCGAGUCGGCCUGCGCGGAAGAUGUAACGGGGCUAAACCAUGCACCGAAGCUGCGGCAGCGACGCUGAUGCGUUGUUGGGUAGGGGAGCGUUCUGUAAGCCUGUGAAGGUGUGCUGUGAGGCAUGCUGGAGGUAUCAGAAGUGCGAAUGCUGACAUAAGUAACGAUAAAGCGGGUGAAAAGCCCGCUCGCCGGAAGACCAAGGGUUCCUGUCCAACGUUAAUCGGGGCAGGGUGAGUCGACCCCUAAGGCGAGGCCGAAAGGCGUAGUCGAUGGGAAACAGGUUAAUAUUCCUGUACUUGGUGUUACUGCGAAGGGGGGACGGAGAAGGCUAUGUUGGCCGGGCGACGGUUGUCCCGGUUUAAGCGUGUAGGCUGGUUUUCCAGGCAAAUCCGGAAAAUCAAGGCUGAGGCGUGAUGACGAGGCACUACGGUGCUGAAGCAACAAAUGCCCUGCUUCCAGGAAAAGCCUCUAAGCAUCAGGUAACAUCAAAUCGUACCCCAAACCGACACAGGUGGUCAGGUAGAGAAUACCAAGGCGCUUGAGAGAACUCGGGUGAAGGAACUAGGCAAAAUGGUGCCGUAACUUCGGGAGAAGGCACGCUGAUAUGUAGGUGAAGUCCCUCGCGGAUGGAGCUGAAAUCAGUCGAAGAUACCAGCUGGCUGCAACUGUUUAUUAAAAACACAGCACUGUGCAAACACGAAAGUGGACGUAUACGGUGUGACGCCUGCCCGGUGC